Molecule: long non-coding RNA, 616 nt
Filed under: Phoenix dactylifera (date palm)
Lineage: Eukaryota; Viridiplantae; Streptophyta; Magnoliopsida; Arecales; Arecaceae
Description: long non-coding RNA (PDAC_LNC008959)
Source: RNAcentral
ACAUAUACAUGGUCUCUAGUCAUAUGGAUCCUUGUUGUGUAGAUUGGCUGUAGUAAGUUCACUGUAAGAGUAGGGUAUGCACUUACAUGGAAUCUAUCGACCUUGAUAGAUGAGGAGUGAUCCUAUGUGAUUUAUUAGACUGAGUUCUAAGACCUUGGCCAGGGCAGAAUAUAUAGUGGAAAAGAGUUUUCUACUCUCGAACUCAAGUCGAAUAAAUCUAGACAUAUGACAGACGACGGGGUUUGACGAGUUAUCCAUGACCUUCGGUCUGUAGGGAUCCACGAUAGAAGGACUGUAUUAUACGAUAACUGCACCUAGAGGUUCAUCAUUCUAUUCUGCUGGGUUGCCACUACAUGCUGCUAGGUGUCACUGGUGGAUGGUGAGACUCACAGGGACCAUCUUGAUGGUCGAUGAUCCCUGGUGAGUUGAGUUGAAAUUGUUUCAACCCAUUAAAAGAAGUUUUCAAUGAUAUUAUGAUAGAGAUCACAAUAUAUCUCACUAUCGGUCAGAAUAGAACCUAUGGGGUCACACACAUUAGAGGUAUUGACCGAUCCGAUGGUUGAAUGUGAUUAGGAAUCAGAAAUAAUCAAUUUGAUUGAUAAUUGGUUAACCCGCU